GACGAACGCUGGCGGCGUGCUUAACACAUGCAAGUCGAACGGAAAGGCCCUGCUUGCAGGGUACUCGAGUGGCGAACGGGUGAGUAACACGUGGGUGAUCUGCCCUGCACUUCGGGAUAAGCCUGGGAAACUGGGUCUAAUACCGGAUAGGAGCCAUUCUUAGUGUGAUGGUUGGAAAGUUUUUUCGGUGUAGGAUGAGCUCGCGGCCUAUCAGCUUGUUGGUGGGGUAAUGGCCUACCAAGGCGGCGACGGGUAGCCGGCCUGAGAGGGUGGACGGCCACAUUGGGACUGAGAUACGGCCCAGACUCCUACGGGAGGCAGCAGUGGGGAAUAUUGCACCAGGGGCGCAAGCCUGAUGCAGCGACGCCGCGUGGGGGAUGACGGCCUUCGGGUUGUAAACUCCUUUCGCUAGGGACGAAGCUUUUUGUGACGGUACCUAGAUAAGAAGCACCGGCUAACUACGUG
This 465-nucleotide ribosomal RNA is filed under the name uncultured bacterium. RNAcentral describes it as "partial 16S ribosomal RNA". It matches the Rfam family "Bacterial small subunit ribosomal RNA", at positions 28 to 507 of the family's 1533-position model. The record is from RNAcentral.